UUCUUUGUGCGAAGGAGUGAAGCGAGAGGUUGCCAGCCAGGAGAAGAUGCAAGCAAGCAACUUGAUCUAGAUGGUAUAGGGCAAGAAGCAGCAUGAAAUCAGCGAUGCAGAGAGAAAGGCAAAGAAAAGCAAAAUCAAGAAGCAGAGGCGUAUGGCUUAGAGAGGCAGAUAGGCGUUGAAUCAUGAUGAGGUUUGAAAAUCUCAACCUCCUCUACAUAUAUAAGAAAAACUGAGGAAUCCAAACGGAGAGGGGUCAGAGUUUUAAGGGAGGUGGAAAUUGGAGAGGAGCCAGAGUUUGGAUGCACUCUAAGCUUGGAGAAGCAAUAGAAUUUGAGAGACGAAGCUCUAGUGAAGAAUGAUCAAAGCACUCAUAGAAGAGGAGCAGGAUCAAGGUAUAGUUCUAUCAAAUUUUAGGCUUCUCGACACUUGGGAAUCAAACAUUAGAGGUGCAUGCUAACCUUGGAAAUUUGCUGAGGUCACAUCUUGUGCUUACUUGUGAAGGGUGUUUUGUAUAAAUAGAUUUGGCAUCUCUUUUUGAUUGAGACACCACGCAUACAUGGUCUCAGGCUACCACAGCAGGCAGAUCGAGAAGACGAGUGAGAUAUUGCAAAAAGAACUCAAGGUGGCAGAGAAGAGAGAAGACGAGUGAAGGACGAGAACUUGGACUGGAACGACGAGCUAAGCAACCACAGAAG
Long non-coding RNA from Prosopis cineraria, 695 nucleotides. RefSeq lists it as uncharacterized. The transcript has 3 exons. The record is from RefSeq and is a predicted model, not a curated record. Lineage: Eukaryota; Viridiplantae; Streptophyta; Magnoliopsida; Fabales; Fabaceae.